GGAAUAUUGGACAAUGGGCGAAAGCCUGAUCCAGCAAUGCCGCGUGAGUGAUGAAGGCCUUAGGGUUGUAAAGCUCUUUUACCAGGGAUGAUAAUGACAGUACCUGGAGAAUAAGCUCCGGCUAACUCCGUGCCAGCAGCCGCGGUAAUACGGAGGGAGCUAGCGUUGUUCGGAAUUACUGGGCAUAAAGCGCGCGUAGGCGGUUACUCAAGUCAGAGGUGAAAGCCCGGGGCUCAACCCCGGAACUGCCUUUGAAACUAGGUAGCUAGAAUCUUGGAGAGGUCAGUGGAAUUCCGAGUGUAGAGGUGAAAUUCGUAGAUAUUCGGAAGAACACCAGUGGCGAAGGCGACUGACUGGACAAGUAUUGACGCUGAGGUGCGAAAGCGUGGGGAGCAAACAGGAUUAGAUACCCUUG
Molecule: ribosomal RNA, 415 nt
Filed under: uncultured Novosphingobium sp.
Lineage: Bacteria; Pseudomonadati; Pseudomonadota; Alphaproteobacteria; Sphingomonadales; Sphingomonadaceae
Description: bacterial SSU rRNA
Rfam family: Bacterial small subunit ribosomal RNA
Source: RNAcentral